AUGAACGCUGGCGGCGUGCCUAAUACAUGCAAGUCGAGCGAACAGACGAGGAGCUUGCUCCUCUGACGUUAGCGGCGGACGGGUGAGUAACACGUGGAUAACCUACCUAUAAGACUGGGAUAACUUCGGGAAACCGGAGCUAAUACCGGAUAAUAUAUUGAACCGCAUGGUUCAAUAGUGAAAGACGGUUUUGCUGUCACUUAUAGAUGGAUCCGCGCCGCAUUAGCUAGUUGGUAAGGUAACGGCUUACCAAGGCAACGAUGCGUAGCCGACCUGAGAGGGGGAUCGGCCACACUGGAACUGAGACACGGUCCAGACUCCUACGGGAGGCAGCAGUAGGGAAUCUUCCGCAAUGGGCGAAAGCCUGACGGAGCAACGCCGCGUGAGUGAUGAAGGUCUGCGGAUCGUAAAACUCUGUUAUUAGGGAAGAACAAAUGUGUAAGUAACUAUGCACGUCUUGACGGUACCUAAUCAGAAAGCCACGGCUAACUACGU
RNAcentral lists this ribosomal RNA (495 nucleotides) under uncultured bacterium. RNAcentral describes it as "partial 16S ribosomal RNA". It matches the Rfam family "Bacterial small subunit ribosomal RNA", at positions 29 to 506 of the family's 1533-position model. The record is from RNAcentral.